Molecule: ribosomal RNA, 1137 nt
Filed under: Aeromonas hydrophila
Lineage: Bacteria; Pseudomonadati; Pseudomonadota; Gammaproteobacteria; Aeromonadales; Aeromonadaceae
Description: partial 23S ribosomal RNA
Rfam family: Bacterial large subunit ribosomal RNA
Source: RNAcentral
GGUUAAGUGACUAAGCGUACAUGGUGGAUGCCUUGGCAGUCAGAGGCGAUGAAGGACGUACUAACCUGCGAUAAGCCGUGAGCAGUCGGUAAGAGACAUUACGACUCACGGAUUUCCGAAUGGGGAAACCCACUUAGCAUAAGCUAGGUAUCGCUACGUGAAUACAUAGCGUAGCGAGGCGAACCGGGAGAACUGAAACAUCUAAGUACCCCGAGGAAAAGAAAUCAACCGAGAUUCCCUCAGUAGCGGCGAGCGAACGGGGAUUAGCCCUUAAGCAUCUUGGAAGUUAGUGGAACGGUCCUGGAAAGGCCGGCGAUACAGGGUGAUAGCCCCGUACACGAAAACAACCUUGAUGUGAAAUCGAGUAGGGCGGGACACGUGACAUCCUGUCUGAAUAUGGGGGGACCAUCCUCCAAGGCUAAAUACUCCUGACUGACCGAUAGUGAACCAGUACCGUGAGGGAAAGGCGAAAAGAACCCCUGUGAGGGGAGUGAAAUAGAACCUGAAACCGUGUACGUACAAGCAGUGGGAGCCCUUCGGGGUGACUGCGUACCUUUUGUAUAAUGGGUCAGCGACUUACAUUUUGUAGCGAGGUUAACCGUAUAGGGGAGCCGUAGGGAAACCGAGUCUUAACUGGGCGUCUAGUUGCAAGGUGUAGACCCGAAACCGGGUGAUCUAGCCAUGGGCAGGUUGAAGGUUGAGUAACAUCAACUGGAGGACCGAACCCACUAACGUUGCAAAGUUAGGGGAUGACCUGUGGCUGGGGGUGAAAGGCCAAUCAAACUCGGAGAUAGCUGGUUCUCCCCGAAAGCUAUUUAGGUAGCGCCUCGGACGAAUACUACUGGGGGUAGAGCACUGUUUGGGCUAGGGGGUCAUCCCGACUUACCAACCCCAUGCAAACUCCGAAUACCAGUAAGUAAUAUCCGGGAGACACACGGCGGGUGCUAACGUCCGUCGUGAAGAGGGAAACAACCCAGACCGCCGGCUAAGGUCCCAAAGUUCUGGUUAAGUGGGAAACGAUGUGGGAAGGCUCAGACAGCUAGGAUGUUGGCUUAGAAGCAGCCAUCAUUUAAAGAAAGCGUAAUAGCUCACUAGUCGAGUCGGCCUGCGCGGAAGAUGUAACGGGGCUCAAACCAG